Molecule: long non-coding RNA, 5144 nt
Organism: Ctenopharyngodon idella (grass carp)
Lineage: Eukaryota; Metazoa; Chordata; Actinopteri; Cypriniformes; Xenocyprididae
Exons: 2
Source: RefSeq, a predicted model, not a curated record
UGCCUUAUUUAGAUUUCUUAACAUGUUGAUGUUGCAUGAUUUGUUCUUCAUUCACAAAUGCCUUGUCAAAAGUUUUAUUAAUCAGCUAUUUCAAAUUAUGAAUCUUUCUUCUUGCAGAUGGAAAUAUACAAAGACAACCUCAUACUUAAGUGCUAUUCACCAGUCACCGUCUCAAAUGAUGACUUUCCUGUGAUGCACAAACACACCGACAUCCUCACACACACAAAAAAGGCUGAUGGGAGGGGAGUGUGAAUUCCGUUUUCGUCACUCCGUUUUUCAUCUCUAAUCUGCUUGUCAAUGACUAACGGAAUGCAAAGAAUGCGGGAGAGAGACAGACGGACAGAGAGGGUGAAAGAGAGUGACUAAAGGAGUGAGUGAAAGUGAGAGGACGAGGAAAGUCUUUCAUCUUAUUUAUUUUCCAAAGUAUCUACAAGUUCACCUAAUGUUAAGACGUCACAAAACUUCAACCCACAUAACAGUCACAAACAUUAAUGAAAGACAAACACAAGGUACUGGUGGCCAAAGAUGACGAUAGGUGCUUCUGUACUAACCCAGGGAGUUUUUUAACACUUGAUGACUGUAACUUUUUUUUUUUUUUGCAUUAUGUGUCUCAAAGUUAUAUGUAAAAGUGGCAUAUAAUGCCACUUUUACAAUAUGGAAAAUAAGUCACUGAUGUCCCCAGAGUGUGUAUGUGAAGUUUUAGCACAAAAUACCCCACAGAUCAUUUUUUAUAGCAUGUUAAAUUUAUCACUUUUUGAGGGUGAGCAAAAACACGCCAUUUUUGUGUGUGCCUUUAAGUGCAAAUGAGCAGCUGCUCCCAAGAAGAGGGCAAGAGCCUGUGUUAGCAGCUCCGAGUCCGAUUACCUCACGCAGAAUCACUGAAAAUGUCAGAAACUGUUCAGCCUUUUGUGUUCAAACCCGAGUCGGACAAUGACGGAGAGACUCAAGAAGAAGUGACAACAUGUGAAACAGGACAUUUCUGAAUGAUCCACACUACUGGAUGUUUUGACUACAUCAACGCUUUCCAAGAAGAGGGAGAAAAUGGUGGCUUGAGCGGCUUCAACAUGCUGUCUGUCAGAGAUGAUAACGUACCUAAUUCAUAACGUAUAAAUUUGUUCUUCCCUCACUGAAACUGAAUUGGAAUGAUCAGGGAACUGAGUGAAAUACUUCAGUUGAAAAGCUUUGCUGCGUUAGUGAACAUUGUUCAACUUGUUGGUUUUGACGGACAUUUUUUUAUGCACGAAUUACGCAUUCUGAUUCUUACAUUCCUGAUUUUAAUAUUUUCAAUACUUUUCUAUUCUUGAUUAACAUUUUUUCUUGAAUCUUGAAUUUAACUCUCCUAUGCUGAUGUAAUAUAUAUUAUAAAUUUGAUGUGAUUUUUAGUUUGAUCACUAUCUUUUCAUUUGCAAUUAUUAGUUUGAUAAAAUGUUGUUUAAUUUUCCAAUUAAAUGUGAUACAUUUUUACAUGAUGUGUAACAUUUUAUUACCCCUUCGCAGAUUUUGACUCAUAAUAUUUCCAUAUUUGUCAGCUACAAAUCAAGGUAUUUCAGAUCUUCAUUAUUAUUGUUCAAAAUAAUCAUUAUGGCAUCACAAAUCUAUGGCAAAUGUCAGCUUAUACACUGCCCCAUUUUGUUCAGUCUUUGUUUUGGACAGUGUUACAACCCUCCCUGUCUGCACAGAAAUGAUAUUUUUUCUAUUUCUAUGAUAUGAUCUAUUUCAUGAUAUUUUUAACAUGUAGAGGAGUGGAUAUUAUACAAUAUGAUUAAAAGGUUGUUAAAAGUCAGGUACAAUUUUUUUAACCACCUUUCAGGAUUCUUUGAUUUAGAAAGUUUAUUAGAUAUAGAAAUCUACAUUAUAAAUGUCUUUACUGUCACUUUUGAUUCAUUUAAUGCAUCCUUGUUGAAUAAAAUUAUUAGUUUUUCUCAAUCGCUUUGGCACAUUUUUAGAAAAUUUUAACAUUCUCUAACUGUAAGUGCAAUUGUCACAACUGUUUGCUGGAACAUCAGCACUCUAUUGUAUGUCUGCAAAAUGUAGUAACUCACUCAAAACAUUUAAUUAAUACUUAAAAACCUAGUUCUUGUAUCAGUAAAUUGGCCAGUGCCACCAAAAUAGAAAGUGUUUUUGUCAUCGUGUGAGCCACACUGGUCAAAUGUUUAGAUGUUUUUCAUUAUGGAAAUAUUUGUUAUAUGUGUUUUCUACUUUUUAGUUGACACUGUCUGCUUUCAACACUAUACAAGAAAAUCAGUUUUGUCUAUCUGAUUGCUCUUGUGUAUCACACUGACCCCCGGUUUCACAGACAAGGUUUAAGCUAGUCCCAGACUAAAAUGCAUGUUUGAGCUGUUUUAACUGAAAGCAACUUGUACUGACAUAUCUUAAAAUGUCAGUGCCAUUGUUUUGUCUCAAGAUAAACAUCAGUAAUGUUUUUUUCUAGUGUACAUUUAUAAAAGCUUCUUAAAUAUCCUAAUUGAACUAAGGCCUAAUCCUGGUUUAAGCUAAUCCCUGUCUGUGAAACCGAGCCUGAGCUUUUUAGAUACAGAUUCCAGCAGUAGGUAAACAUUUAAUAGGAAAAGUCAAUAGUACAGACACACACACACACACACACACACACACAAAAUGGACAUUUGUCCACACUUUAUUUUAGGUGUCCUUAUCUACUAUGUACUUACAUCAAAAAAUAUGUACAGUGUACUUAUUGUGUUCAUGUUGUAUUGCAAAACACUUGUGCUGCUAUUGAGGUGGAGGACAGGUUUAGUGGUAUGGGUAGGUUCACGUAAGGGUGGGUUAAGGGAAGGCUCAACAGUGUAAUUACAGCUGUAUUUUUUUUUUUUUUUUUUUUUUAAAUAAGUACAAUGUAAAAACAUGUACACAAUAGGUGCAUUGUAUCAAAUUAUUCAUUUACAGUAAGUGUUAGACCAAAGUAGUUAAAAACACCUAAUAUAAAGUGGGACUGAACAUUUUCAUUUAUACAGCACAUUUAUUUUUGUAUUUUUAAACAUAACACAGUUAUGUUUAGUUUGUCUUAGUUUAUCAUGUCUUUUUAGUUUUCAUUCAUUCUCAUGUAUUCCUUUGUUCGACUUUCCCACCACUCCUUUGUUACCGUGGUCACCGUAAUUAUGAGUUUGUUUGGUUCAGCAAAGUUCCAGUAAUUAUCUUGUUUGAGUUCCUAUUUAUGUACCCUCAUGUUCAUUCCCUGUUCAGUCACGUUCACAUUUACUGUCUGUUGCUACCUUCUGGUAACCUUGUGGAUAUUUGAUAUUAAACUUGUGUUGGAACUAGGGCUGCACGAUUUAUCGCAAUUUUAUCGCAUGCAAUUUGGCAAAGGCUGCGAUUAUUAUCUGCGCAGCUUGUCAGAGCUAUACGGCUUUGUGAUCAGUAGUAAAUGCUUCUGAAAUCUGAAAGCCAGAGGGCGCUCUCGUGCAGAAAUUGCAAAUAUGCCCUGCAGCAGAAGUAGAACACGUGUCAUUCCAGGAAAUCCCAUAUUAUCGCUGUAGCUGAAUAAACAGAAUAUUGAAACGUUUGAUUAAACAUGACUAAUAAACACACGACUGCCUUAUUUUUUGUAAGAAGCCGCAUCAUUUCACAGAAGGAUGCUCAACUGUUGUUGUGAAGUGAGUUUGGAGUAAAAACAUGUUAUUAAAUGUCUUUUGUUGGACAAGAUGUUUAUAAACGCUUCUCAUGUCUGUAAAGAUGUUUGACGCGUGUUGCUUUUCAAAUGCACAUUAUAAGCGAUUCAAACUCGCAGUGCUUUCAGAUGGAUUAGCAUUUGGAGCCAUAGUUCAUUGACAAGCUGCGCAUUAAAAAAUAAUCGCACAAAGCCAAAUCGUUUAAGCGUGAUUUCAGUGGGUUUUUUUUCUAAUCGUCGGAUUAAUUGUGCAGCCCUAAUUGGAAUCUUAUUCUUCAUCUUCUUUUUGCCUGCAACCAUGUGCCACCUGCCCUCUAGACGACGAGACCCUGAAGAACCUGUUCUGGAUCGGGCCAAUUACCAUCAGCAUGUUGACCUCCCAGACACCUCUGGACUUAACUGGAGGAAUACCAUCAUUAGGUGGCUGGAGAGUGUCUUGCCCCAGUCGAGAGCACAGCCAGACCCAGAGCCUGAAUCACCAUUUUCGACUGAGGAGAAUUCAUGUGAGCCCCCUGCAGACAGAGAGCUACCACCUGCCACGACGCGUCAGCUAGAGCCCGAGGAGAAGAGGACAGAGCUGACCCUUGCCCUGGAAGUGGAGCUCCAUCGUGAGUCUGACCAGGGGUGUGAGCCUGUGGCAUCAGUGGAGUCUCCGGGGAGUCCUUGAUGUGACGUACUCUGCUUCCGCCACAGACCUACGGGCCGUCCGCUGCGCUCCGUUCCUCCACCCCUAUGGCUGCAGGGGGCUUCUCCUUCCCUUCGGCGUUGCUUCUGUCCUCAGUCACACCGGCUCUUCGGAUACUCUGGCUCCAUCUUUGACACUCGUCACCGCAGCAUCGCCGAGGUCUCCAGUGUCUGCGACACUCGUUUCCAUCGGCUCUCUGUCUGUGCUCAUGGAUCCAUCGCCAUCAUUUCCUGCAGUCAUCCACCAGCUGUCAUCAGCCACGACACCAUCUGGACUCCCCCCCACCUCGACUCUGCUGUGGCCUGUCGGCACUGGCAAGCUCUGGGUCUGUGCCAGCGAACUAUCUCCACCAUUGCCGCCAGGGGAUCGUCGUCUUCUAUCUGCCACCAUCCUUCUGUCGACACCAUAUUCCAUCACCAUCCCUUUGCCACAUCUUGUCACCACAUCCACGUCCACCUCCAAUCCCUUUCUCCCUCUGCUUUCCUCUGUUACUGCACGAGAUCGCGCCUAGCCGGAGGGGGGAGUUAUGUCAGUUAUGUUGAGUUUGUCUUAGUUAUCUUGGAUUUUUAGUUUGUUUUUAUUCAUUCUCAUGUGUUCCUUUAUUUGACUUUCCCACCACUCCUUUGUUACCAGGGUCACCGUCAUUGAGUUUGUAUGGUUCAGCUGUUUUAUUAAUCAUCUUGUUUGAGUUCCUAUUUAAGUUCCCUCAUGUGAGAGUACGUUAAUGUAGUACCCUCAUGUUCAUUCUCUGUCCAGUCACGUUCACAUUUACUGUGUGUUGCUACCUUCUGUUAACCUUGUGGAUAUUUGAUAUUAAACUCGUGUUGGAACCGUAUU